UAGUCCACACCGUAAACGAUGAAUGCCAGUCGUCGGGCAGUAUACUGUUCGGUGACACACCUAACGGAUUAAGCAUUCCGCCUGGGGAGUACGGUCGCAAGAUUAAAACUCAAAGAAAUUGACGGGGACCCGCACAAGCGGUGGAGUAUGUGGCUUAAUUCGAUGCAACGCGAAGAACCUUACCUAGGCUUGACAUGCUCGUCAUACCCUCCCGAGAAGGAGGGGUCAUUUCGGAUGGACGAUGCACAGGUGCUGCAUGGUUGUCGUCAGCUCGUGCCGUGAGGUGUCGGGUUAAGUCCCAUAACGAGCGCAACCCUUAUCGUUAGUUACCAUCAGGUUAUGCUGGGGACUCUAGCGAGACUGCCACCGUAAGGUGAGAGGAAGGUGGGGAUGACGUCAAAUCAGCACGGCCCUUAUGUCCAGGGCUACACACGUGUUACAAUGGCAAGUACAAAGGGCAGCUACCAGGCGACUGGAUGCUAAUCUCUAAAGCUUGUCU
Molecule: ribosomal RNA, 499 nt
Filed under: uncultured bacterium
Lineage: Bacteria
Description: bacterial SSU rRNA
Rfam family: Bacterial small subunit ribosomal RNA
Source: RNAcentral